RNAcentral lists this ribosomal RNA (116 nucleotides) under uncultured bacterium. Its description in RNAcentral is "partial 16S ribosomal RNA". It matches the Rfam family "Bacterial small subunit ribosomal RNA", at positions 1367 to 1482 of the family's 1533-position model. The record is from RNAcentral.
UACGUUCCCGGGUCUUGUACACACCGCCCGUCACACCACGAGAAUCGGUUGAACUGGAAGUAGGUGAUCUAACCGUAAGGAGGAAACCUACCAAGGUUUGCCCGGUGAUUGGGGUG